UAUUGCGACAUUGGCUUAUUAUGCUGUAACAAUGAUCUGUAUAGUAAAUCAAUCUCCCUUGCAGGUGGACCUGAUUUAACAGGCCUUUCCUAUGUGGGUUGGGUGAGAGCUGGAUAUGAGACGAACUUCACCUGUACCUCCAACUGCAUCCCAGGAUGCACCUACACCUGGUUGCUGAAGGGGCGCACUUUCAUUGGGAGUAAGUUGACCUGGACCCCAGACGGUCUGGACCACAUUGUGGAGCUGCAGUGUACUGCGGUCAACACAGAGAAUGGGCGCUCCAAGAGCAUAACCACAAUCUUGGAGGUGAAAAGCUCAGUGUCCGUGAGGCCCAGCCCACAGCUCUCUCUCCCCGUCCUCAACCAAUCCUUCAGCCUGGACUGUAACGGCUCCUUCCCAGGCCUGCCAGUGCUCUGGUACAAAGACGGCCAGGUUGUAGCUCCAGACGCCAUGAUAAACCAGUUGGAACACAACACCUCCCUCCACUUUAACUCCCUGCUGCCCUCUGAUGGUGGCUUCUAUCAGUGUGAGGUGACCAUGGCAAACAUGGCUAAAAGCAAGGUCAUAAGCUUGGGCUACCUGCUAAACUUUGAUCAUUGGAGUGUUAGUAUCAGUGGCCCUGACACAGUGUUGCCUGGGAGGGAAUACACCUUUACCUGCCAGGUGAACUGCACUGUUGACCUGGACUGCUCCAUCCGCUGGCCGUUGAGGGGGAGUAUCCUUACUAGCGCCUACUUCUCCGUGAGGAAGAAUAUCCUGAAAUGGAUCCCGUCGGUACCUGGUACGGUCCAGGUCUUCACCUGUGUGGUGGAGAACACAGCAGCUGGACGCUCUGCAGAGGCCUCCAAGACAGUGAAGGUCACAGGUAGUCACUCCUGUUUUAUUGUGUGAUAAAAUGAAGCUUCACUGCAGAAUCAAUUCUUGCAAUGGCAGUUUUGUGAUUGUUAGAGGGUUCUUUAGAUCGUAAAGAGAUGACUCUCUAGACAAACCCUGGAUGGAGACUGAUUACUCUUUGGCAGAUUUAAUAAUGAACUGACCACAUUCAUUCAGCCAUGCAUAAAGGUAGAUAAUCAAUUACUAUUACAAUUCCAAAGUACUGAUUCACCAUAUUGUAAAACUACACUACACUUCGACUUAUAUAAUAAUAUCCAUCAUAAAAUAUUCCUACACUAUUAACACCAAGUUAUCUUGAUACAAAAUGUAUUAACUCAACCUUAAACCCAGUUGUAGGUACUGUUAAAUCGAAAUAUUGAAAUCGAAAUGCUUAGUUUUUUAACCUAGCUAGAAUACCUGCGUACUACAUGGUAAAAUACUGUUUUAGACCGUUUCCAUCAUCUCCAUAAUCCCAGACUGAAGUCAUGUUAUUGUUCCCUCAUGCAGGACCCACAGUAUCAGGAUCUGAAACAGUGAGGCUGAGUGGAGUUUUAGGACUGGUUCUCUGUGUGGGUCAGCUGUUUCUCCUGGAUCCCUAGAGGCGGCGCUAUAAGACUACAGACUAUGGGAAGGACAGAGGAGAACGUUGAAUAAGUUCAGGUUCACCUUCAGAACAAAUAAUAAAACAGGAACCAACGUUUUGAAACUCUUAAUCCUGUCCAAUAAGAAUGCUCAUUUCUCAGAAUAAGAAUAUAAGGAUAUAAGAAUGUUUCCUCUGUUGUGGGAUAAUGAUAGUUGAGUCAUUGGAAGUUUCCAGUGAAUUAUGUUUAUCAUUCACAUGCAGUAGGUAACGAUGAGAAAAUAACAAAACGUACAUAUUGAUGUAAUCUAUGUAAUAUUUUCUUAUUUGCAAUACGUACUGUAUUAUUAUCUUUGUUGUUGUUGAGAUUACCUUGUAAAAUAAACUCCCAAAUGAGUGUGGUAAUAAAUA
This 1864-nucleotide long non-coding RNA is filed under the name Salmo trutta (river trout). Its description in RNAcentral is "lncRNA (ENSSTUG00000038921.1)". The record is from RNAcentral. Lineage: Eukaryota; Metazoa; Chordata; Actinopteri; Salmoniformes; Salmonidae.